UGAGUAACACGUAUCCAACCGUUCCCUACCCGGGUAUAGCCUCGGGAAACUGAGAGUAAUCCCCGAUGUGGUGCACGGAAAGCAUUUCAUGCGCACUAAAGAUUGAUCGGUAAGGGGUGGGGAUGCGCUCCAGUUAGCUGGUAGGCGGGGUAACGCCCACUAGGCGAUGAUGGAUAGGGGUUCUGAGAGGAAGGUCCCCCACAUUGGAACUGCGACACGGUCCAAACUCCUACGGGAGGCAGCAGUGAGGAAUAUUGGUCAAUGGCCGGAAGGCUGAACCAGCCAAGUAGCGUGCAGGAAUGACUGCCCUAUGGGUUGUAAACUGCUUUUUGCGGGAAUAACGGUCACCUCGUGAGGUGAUGUGCAUGUACCGUAAGAAUAAGGAUCGGCUAACUCCGUGCCAGCAGCGGC
This 411-nucleotide ribosomal RNA is filed under the name uncultured bacterium. RNAcentral describes it as "bacterial SSU rRNA". It matches the Rfam family "Bacterial small subunit ribosomal RNA", at positions 107 to 518 of the family's 1533-position model. The record is from RNAcentral.